UUUUAUCAUGUUUUAUCAUAUUUUACUUUUCCUGAGAGCUGUGAGAGACGGAGAACGGAGCGAGAGCAAGAACUGAAGAUUCUCAAUUCUACUACGGUUUUUCUUGUGGAUGUUUAUUUGUUUUAUUGAGAAUUGUAUUCUAGUUCAUAUGUCUAUGUGUGGCUAGAAUCCCUUUUUUCCCAGGGUUUAGGGAGUAAACAUGGUUUGAAUUUCUGACUGUUUGAUUCAAUUAAUUGGAUUGUUAUUCCUUUCUAUGUUCUUG
RNAcentral lists this long non-coding RNA (262 nucleotides) under Salvia miltiorrhiza (redroot sage). Its description in RNAcentral is "long non-coding RNA (SMIL_LNC004486)". The record is from RNAcentral. Lineage: Eukaryota; Viridiplantae; Streptophyta; Magnoliopsida; Lamiales; Lamiaceae.